CUUCGGGGACAUUGGUGACAGGUGGUGCAUGGUUGUCGUCAGCUCGUGUCGUGAGAUGUUGGGUUAAGUCCCGCAACGAGCGCAACCCUUGUCUUUAGUUGCCAUCAUUAAGUUGGGCACUCUAGAGAGACUGCCAGGGAUAACCUGGAGGAAGGUGGGGAUGACGUCAAAUCAUCAUGCCCCUUAUGCUUAGGGCUACACACGUGCUACAAUGGGUAGUACAGAGGGUUGCCAAGCCGUAAGGUGGAGCUAAUCCCUUAAAGCUACUCUCAGUUCGGAUUGUAGGCUGAAACUCGCCUACAUGAAGCUGGAGUUACUAGUAAUCGCAGAUCAGAAUGCUGCGGUGAAUGCGUUCCCGGGUCUUGUACACACCGCCCGUCACACCACGGGAGGUGGAGACGCCCGAAGCCGAUUAUCUAACCUUUUGGAAGAAGUCGUCGAAGGUGGAAUCAAUAACUGGGGUGAAGUCGUAACAAGGUAGCCGUAUCGGAAGGUGCGGCUGGAUCACCUCCUUUCUAAGGA
RNAcentral lists this ribosomal RNA (522 nucleotides) under Clostridioides difficile. RNAcentral's name for it is "bacterial SSU rRNA". It matches the Rfam family "Bacterial small subunit ribosomal RNA", at positions 1017 to 1533 of the family's 1533-position model. The record is from RNAcentral. Lineage: Bacteria; Bacillati; Bacillota; Clostridia; Peptostreptococcales; Peptostreptococcaceae.